GGCUGGGCUGGGGGAGCAACCUCCAGCCCUGGGACUGGCGGGAGGUGGAGGGGAAGAUAGUGGGGCUCAGCCUUUUUACAUUCCUGGAAGAUGCCUGCUCUUUGUUUUGGUCUCUCAAUUCUAAUCCUCAAAGGGAAUUUACAAAACACCUUUCACAGAUGAGCCUGCAAACUUUAUCAACCUACUGUAUACAAAAAAUCAUGGACUAAACACAGACAUUGGAUUUAUGACACAUCAUAACCUGCCUAACAUCUGACAGCCCAGGAAGAGCACAGGCCAAUUGCAGAUGCUUCCUCAGCCUGAUGAAGG
Molecule: long non-coding RNA, 309 nt
Organism: Alligator sinensis (Chinese alligator)
Lineage: Eukaryota; Metazoa; Chordata; Crocodylia; Alligatoridae
Exons: 3
Source: RefSeq, a predicted model, not a curated record